GGCGCGACAGGUGAGUAUAACAUGGGUAACCUGCCCGUAAGACAGGGAUAACUCCGGGAAACCGGAGCUCAAACCGGAGAGUUCCUUGAACCGCGCGGUUCACGGAUGAAAGACGGUUUCUGCUGUCACUUAUAGAUGGACCCCCGCCUCACUAUCUCUUUGUUGGGGUAAUGGCUCACCACGGCGACAAUACGCAUCCCACAUGAGAGGGGGAGCUCCCCCACUGGGACAGAGACACGGCCCCCACACCCCCAGGAGGCGCCACUAUGGAAACUCCCCCACUGUGCAAAAAUCUCACAGAGAACCGCCCCGCGAGUGAGAAGAGUGUUCUGAUCUCAUAACUCUCUUGUUUUGGAAAAAAACGUGUGAGAGUUAAAGUUCGCGCCUUGUUGGGGCCCCACCACAAAACCGCGGCGGAAAACUUGCCGCCACCCGCGGUGAUAAUUCUGUGGCGACCGUUUUCCCGAAUUAUUGUGGGUAAAAGGGCCCCCGGAGGUUUUUUCUUACUUAUGUUAAAACCCCCCGCUCAACCGGGGAGGGUCAUGGGAAACUGGGAGACUUGAGUGCAGAAGAGGAGAGUGGAAUUCCACGUGUAGCGGUGAAAUGCGUAGAGAUGUGGAGGAACACCAGUGGCGAAGGCGACUCUCUGGUCUGUAACUGACGCUGAGGAGCGACAGCGUGGGGAGCAAACAGGAUUAGAUACCCUGGUAGUCCACGCCGUAAACGAUGAGUGCUAAGUGUUAGGGGGUUUCCGCCCAUUAGUGCUGAAGUUAACGCAUUAAGCACUCCGCCUGGGGAGUACGGUCGCAAGACUGAAACUCAAAGGAAUUGACGGGGGCCCGCACAAGCGGUGGAGCAUGUGGUUUAAUUCGAAGCAACGCGAAGAACCUUACCAGGUCUUGACAUCCUCUGACAACCCAAGAGAUAGGGCUUUCCCUUCGGGAAUAGAGUGACAGGUGGUGCAUGGUGGUCGUCAGCUCGUGUCUUGAGAUGUUGGGUUAAGUCCCGCAACGAGCGCAACCCUUGAUCUUAGUUGCCAGCAUUAAGUUGGGCACUCUAAGGUGACUGCCGGUGACAAACCGGAGGAAGGUGGGGAUGACGUCAAAUCAUCAUGCCCCUUAUGACCUGGGCUACACACGUGCUACAAUGGACAGUACAAAGGGCUGCGAGACCGCAAGGUUUAGCCAAUCCCAUAAAUCCGUUCUCAGUUCGGAUCGCAGUCUGCAACUCGACUGCGUGAAGCGGAAUCGCUAGUAAUCGCGGAUCAGC
RNAcentral lists this ribosomal RNA (1269 nucleotides) under Bacillus safensis. RNAcentral describes it as "partial 16S ribosomal RNA". It matches the Rfam family "Bacterial small subunit ribosomal RNA", at positions 97 to 1353 of the family's 1533-position model. Lineage: Bacteria; Bacillati; Bacillota; Bacilli; Caryophanales; Bacillaceae. The record is from RNAcentral.